RNAcentral lists this long non-coding RNA (594 nucleotides) under Androctonus crassicauda. The record is from RNAcentral. Lineage: Eukaryota; Metazoa; Arthropoda; Arachnida; Scorpiones; Buthidae.
AUCUAACACCAGUAAAUGUAGCUUUAGACCUACUGCUUUUGGUGAUAUUCAGGAGACAUUAUGAAAUCAUUAACACUUUUUGGAGUUAUCUUUAUCUAUUUAGCUCUCUUUGGAGCUACUUUUGCACAGGAAGAUGAUGUGGAACCGGAUAAGUAUAUUAAUCAGGAAAAACGAUUUUGGGCCCCUCUAGGAAGAUGGGUUGGAGGACAAGCUGCAAAGUUUGGAUUCAAAAAAUGGAAGAAGCACCAAGGUCAUCACAAAGGCUGAAAACAAAAUGAAUGAAGUAUAGAAGUCGAAAAGUUUCUAUGAUAUAUGUUAAUGUUCAUGUAUCAUAAUAAAACAAUAAUUCGAUCUGUGUGUAAUGAAAUUUCUUUAAAAACAAAUUUUGUAACAUUAUUAAAAUUAGAAUUAUAUAUACGAAAAUAUUUAAAGUUGUAUGCCUAACAUAUAAAAAUAAUGUACUGUAUAAUGUAAAUAUUUUAUGGUUGUGACGGAUUUUUAUUUUAAAAUAUUAAAGAAAUCUUUAGAAAUACAGUAAAACCUCGAUUUUACGGACCUCGAUUCUACGGACUUCGGAUUUUAUGGACACCAUCC